This 269-nucleotide long non-coding RNA is filed under the name Salvia miltiorrhiza (redroot sage). Its description in RNAcentral is "long non-coding RNA (SMIL_LNC006811)". The record is from RNAcentral. Lineage: Eukaryota; Viridiplantae; Streptophyta; Magnoliopsida; Lamiales; Lamiaceae.
UAGGGAUUUGCUCACUACACCAGCUCAACCAGCAAACUCUAGAUUCUCGAUUGUUGGAAUUCUUGCUUCAGAGGUGAUCGGCAUUCCCACUAUUUCUCAGCGUUUGUUGUUGUUAUUGAAGGCUUAUAGUUGAUUUCUCUCUCCUUAGUCAGGGCCUGCUAACAGCAUGUCUGGAGGACUACUGGGCUGCUUAUGAUCGAACAAGGUAAGUUGCGUGUGCCUAUCACAUUCUUCCAGACUUUAGUCUGUAACAACUCUUUUGUUUUACU